This 120-nucleotide ribosomal RNA is filed under the name Pteropus alecto (black flying fox). The record is from RNAcentral. Lineage: Eukaryota; Metazoa; Chordata; Mammalia; Chiroptera; Pteropodidae.
GUCUAUGGUCAUGCCACCCUGAACAUGCCCGAUCUCUUCUGAUCUUGGAAGCUAAGCAGGGUCGGGCCCUGGUUAGUACUUGGAUGGAAGACCACCUAGGAAUACCAGGUGCUGUAGGCA